GACGAACGUUGGCGGCGUGCUUAAUACAUGCAAGUCAACUGAAGCAGUGGUAGCAAUAUCGCUGUGGAGGUGGCGCACGGGUGAGUAACACGUAGGUAAUCUGCCUUCAGGUCUGGCAUAACUCCGGGAAACCGGGGCUAAUAGCAGAUGAUGCAGCGGCUCGACAUCGAGACAGUUGUUAAAGCUAUGGCGCCUGAAGAUGAGCCUGCGUCUGAUUAGCUAGUUGGCGGGGUAACGGCCCACCAAGGCAACGAUCAGUAGCUGGUCUGAGAGGAUGAUCAGCCACACUGGAACUGAGACACGGUCCAGACUCCUACGGGAGGCAGCAGUAAGGAAUAUUGCUCAAUGGGAGAAAUCCUGAAGCAGCAACGCCGCGUGAGGGACGAAGGGCUUUUGCUUGUAAACCUCUGUAGUGAGAGAAAAAUAUCCCAAUCUUUGGGACAUGAUGGUAUCUCAAAAGUAAGCCCCGGCUAACUACGUG
This 481-nucleotide ribosomal RNA is filed under the name uncultured bacterium. Its description in RNAcentral is "partial 16S ribosomal RNA". It matches the Rfam family "Bacterial small subunit ribosomal RNA", at positions 28 to 507 of the family's 1533-position model. The record is from RNAcentral.